GACGAACCGAGCGAACGUUGUUCGGAAUCACUGGGCUUAAAGGGCGCGUAGGCGGGCGGUUAAGUCUGCGGUGAAAUCCUCCAGCUCAACUGGAGAACUGCCGUGGAUACUGGCUGUCUCGAGGAAGGUAGGGGCGUGUGGAACUAUCGGUGGAGCGGUGAAAUGCGUUGAUAUCGAUAGGAACUCCGGUGGCGAAGGCGACACGCUGGACCUUUUCUGACGCUGAGACGCGAAAGCGUGGGGAGCAAACAGG
This 253-nucleotide ribosomal RNA is filed under the name uncultured bacterium. Its description in RNAcentral is "partial 16S ribosomal RNA". It matches the Rfam family "Bacterial small subunit ribosomal RNA", at positions 524 to 776 of the family's 1533-position model. The record is from RNAcentral.